UACGUAGGUACCGAACGUUGCGCGAAUUUACUGGGCGUAAAGGGUCCGUAGGCGGUUUAGCAAGUGGGUGGUGAAAUUUCACGGCUCAAACGUGAAACUGCCUUCCAAACUGCUAAACUUGAGGCAGGGAGAGGUCGGCGGAAUGCCCGGUGUAGCGGUGAAAUGCGUAGAUAUUGGGCGGACAACCAGUGGCGAAGGCGGCCGACUGGAACUGUCCUGACGCUGAGGGACGAAAGCUAGGGGAGCAAACCGG
RNAcentral lists this ribosomal RNA (253 nucleotides) under uncultured bacterium. RNAcentral's name for it is "partial 16S ribosomal RNA". It matches the Rfam family "Bacterial small subunit ribosomal RNA", at positions 524 to 776 of the family's 1533-position model. The record is from RNAcentral.